CCUGACAGGCAUCAGGUCUGAGUGCCGGCGCUCAGCAGAAAUUCCUCCCAGGGGUCCCUGAGGAAAGUUGAAAGCCUUGGUAGCUUGCAUUAGCUGUCUAAUUCUGUGCAAUCUUGACAUUGGGAUGUGGAAAUGGAAUGCAGCCUGUGUUUUGAUGAAUGCUUUGAUACAAGCCUCGGCCACCCCAAGUGAGCAUGCCGGAUCUUGACCCUAAAACACUCACACAUCAGUUUAUGUAAACACGUGCCCAGGGUCGAAAAUGCCUGGAUAAGGCAAAUCAUUUAUGGUUCUCUUUGAUUAUUUUCCCUGUUCCCUGUUUUUCCAAACUUCAUUUCUUUUGAUAUUUCUUGACUUUUUAAAAUAUGUAUAGUUGCUUGCAUAUAAAAUUACUCACUACGUACUGAGUAACCUGCCUCCUACUUUUUUAAAUUUAUUUUUUAUUUGUUUUAAAGGCAGAGUUACAGAGAGAGGGGGCAAGACAGAUAGAGGUCGCUCUCCCAUCUACUUAUUCGCUCCCCAUAUAGACUCAAUGGCCCAGGCUGGGCCAGGCUGAAGCCAGGAUCCUGGAGCUUCUUCUGGGUCUCCCAUGUGAGUGCAGGAGCCCAAGCACUUGGUCCAUCUUCUGCUGCUCUCCCAGGAAUAUUAGCAAGGAGAUGGAUCUGAAGUGGAGCAGUCAGGUCAAAAACCAGUGCCUACAUGGGACACUGGUGUCACAGGCAGAGGCUUAACAUGUUAUACCACAAUGUCCGGCCCUCUUUCUCCUACUUUCAACGUAUUAUGUGUUCACAUGUUACUGGGAAUGUAUUUGGCCGUGAUCAUCAUAACUUUAUUAUUUUUAUUUUUGACAGGGAUAUAUAACACAGAUAUCACUAUUUAAUUCAGCUUCAGCUUCAAGAAUGAGCUAUAAGAAUCUGAGGGAAUUUUUAAAACUGAUCAUGUGUUAAGUCCAAGAACAUCUGUACAAUCCACUUUAAAAGGAAAUACUGAAUGAUGUAGGUAUGUAGAAGCACUUUAUAAAAUAUUUUCAUCAGGGUUUAUUUUU
Molecule: long non-coding RNA, 1042 nt
Filed under: Oryctolagus cuniculus (rabbit)
Lineage: Eukaryota; Metazoa; Chordata; Mammalia; Lagomorpha; Leporidae
Description: lncRNA (ENSOCUG00000036753.1)
Source: RNAcentral